ACGCUCGACACCUACUGGAGGCAGCAGUGGGGGAUAUUGCACAAUGGGGGAAACCCUGAUGCAGCAACGCCGCGUGAAGGAAGAAGGUCUUCGGAUUGUAAACUUCUGUCCUCAGGGAAGAUAAUGACGGUACCUGAGGAGGAAGCUCCGGCUAACUACGUACCAGCAGCCGCGGUAAUCUGAGCGGGCUGGCAAGGC
RNAcentral lists this ribosomal RNA (198 nucleotides) under uncultured bacterium. RNAcentral describes it as "partial 16S ribosomal RNA". It matches the Rfam family "Bacterial small subunit ribosomal RNA", at positions 328 to 539 of the family's 1533-position model. The record is from RNAcentral.